GUCUUGGUAUAAGUAUGUCCCAUGCAAUAUUUGGGACAUACUCAUACUAAAA
Molecule: microRNA precursor, 52 nt
Filed under: Ursus americanus (American black bear)
Lineage: Eukaryota; Metazoa; Chordata; Mammalia; Carnivora; Ursidae
Also listed under: 2 other names
Description: mir-1302 microRNA precursor family
Rfam family: mir-1302 microRNA precursor family
Source: Rfam by way of RNAcentral